Molecule: ribosomal RNA, 458 nt
Filed under: uncultured bacterium
Lineage: Bacteria
Description: bacterial SSU rRNA
Rfam family: Bacterial small subunit ribosomal RNA
Source: RNAcentral
AGAGUUUGAUCCUGGCUCAGAUUGAACGCUGGCGGCAUGCCUUACACAUGCAAGUCGAACGGCAGCACGGGAGCAAUCCUGGUGGCGAGUGGCGAACGGGUGAGUAAUAUAUCGGAACGUGCCCAGUCGUGGGGGAUAACGUAGCGAAAGCUACGCUAAUACCGCAUACGAUCUAUGGAUGAAAGCGGGGGAUCGCAAGACCUCGCGCGAUUGGAGCGGCCGAUAUCAGAUUAGCUAGUUGGUGGGGUAAAGGCCCACCAAGGCGACGAUCUGUAGCUGGUCUGAGAGGACGACCAGCCACACUGGAACUGAGACACGGUCCAGACUCCUACGGGAGGCAGCAGUGGGGAAUUUUGGACAAUGGGCGCAAGCCUGAUCCAGCAAUGCCGCGUGCAGGACGAAGGCCUUCGGGUUUAAACUGCUUUUGUACGGAACGAAAAGGUCUGCCCUAAUACGGC